This is a non-coding RNA of Triticum aestivum (bread wheat), 126 nucleotides long. NCBI's taxonomy places the organism in Eukaryota, Viridiplantae, Streptophyta, Magnoliopsida, Poales, Poaceae. The record is from Rfam.
GUACUACUCCCUCCGUCCGAAAAAAUUUGUCCCUCAAAUGGAUGUAUACAGCACCAAGUUAGUGCUAAAUACAUCCAUUUGAGGGACAAACUUGGGACAAGCUUUUCCGGACGGAGGGAGUAUGAU